GGGUUUAGUUUUUAGGGUUUAGGGUUCAGUUCAGUUUCAGUUUCAGUUCAGUUCAAUUUCAGUUUCAGUUUCAGUUCAGUUGUGAAUUCACAACUAGGGUUUAGGUUUAGGGUUUAGUGUUUCAGUUCAGUUCAGUUGUGAAUUCACAAUCGUAACAAUUCACAACUAGGGUUUAGGGUUUAGAUUGGGUUUAGGGUUUAGGGUUUAGGUUUUAGGGUUUAUGGUUCAGUUUCAGUUCAGUUGUGAAUUCACAACUAGGAUUUAGGUUUAUGGUUUAGUGUUUCAGUUCAGUUCAGUUGUGAAUUCACAAUUGUAACAAUUUACCACUAGGGUUUAGGUUUAGGGUUUAGAUUGGGUUUAGGGUUUAGGUUUUAGAGUUUAGGGUUUAGUUUUUAGGGUUUAAGGUUCAGUUCAGUUCAGUUUCAGUUUAGUUGUGAAUUCACAACUAGGGUUUAGGUUUAGGGUUUAGGGUUU
Molecule: long non-coding RNA, 474 nt
Filed under: Salvia miltiorrhiza (redroot sage)
Lineage: Eukaryota; Viridiplantae; Streptophyta; Magnoliopsida; Lamiales; Lamiaceae
Description: long non-coding RNA (SMIL_LNC007445)
Source: RNAcentral